RNAcentral lists this ribosomal RNA (201 nucleotides) under uncultured bacterium. RNAcentral's name for it is "partial 16S ribosomal RNA". It matches the Rfam family "Bacterial small subunit ribosomal RNA", at positions 505 to 705 of the family's 1533-position model. The record is from RNAcentral.
GUGCCAGCCGCCGCGGUAAUACGUAGGGUGCAAGCGUUAUUCGGAAUUAUUGGGCGUAAAGCGUGCGCAGGCGGUUUUUUAAGUCUGAUGUGAAAUCCCCGGGCUUAACCUGGGAAUUGCAUUGGAAACUGGGAAACUAGAGUGCGGCAGAGGAGAGUGGAAUUCCACGUGUAGCAGUGAAAUGCGUAGAGAUGUGGAGGA